Molecule: ribosomal RNA, 827 nt
Filed under: Pseudomonas asplenii
Lineage: Bacteria; Pseudomonadati; Pseudomonadota; Gammaproteobacteria; Pseudomonadales; Pseudomonadaceae
Description: bacterial SSU rRNA
Rfam family: Bacterial small subunit ribosomal RNA
Source: RNAcentral
UGCAGUCGAGCGGAUGACAGGGAGCUUGCUCCUUGAUUCAGCGGCGGACGGGUGAGUAAUACCUAGGAAUCUGCCUGGUAGUGGGGGACAACGUUUCGAAAGGAACGCUAAUACCGCAUACGUCCUACGGGAGAAAGCAGGGGACCUUCGGGCCUUGCGCUAUCAGAUGAGCCUAGGUCGGAUUAGCUAGUUGGUGAGGUAAUGGCUCACCAAGGCUACGAUCCGUAACUGGUCUGAGAGGAUGAUCAGUCACACUGGAACUGAGACACGGUCCAGACUCCUACGGGAGGCAGCAGUGGGGAAUAUUGGACAAUGGGCGAAAGCCUGAUCCAGCCAUGCCGCGUGUGUGAAGAAGGUCUUCGGAUUGUAAAGCACUUUAAGUUGGGAGGAAGGGCAUUAACCUAAUACGUUAGUGUUUUGACGUUACCGACAGAAUAAGCACCGGCUAACUCUGUGCCAGCAGCCGCGGUAAUACAGAGGGUGCAAGCGUUAAUCGGAAUUACUGGGCGUAAAGCGCGCGUAGGUGGUUCGUUAAGUUGGAUGUGAAAUCCCCGGGCUCAACCUGGGAACUGCAUCCAAAACUGGCGAGCUAGAGUAGGGCAGAGGGUGGUGGAAUUUCCUGUGUAGCGCUGAAAUGCGUAGAUAUAGGAAGGAACACCGGUGGCGAAGGCGACCACCUGGGGUCAUACUGACACUGAGGUGCGAAAGCGUGGGGGAGCAGACAGGAGUAGAUACCCUGGUAGUCCGCGCCGUAAACGAUGUCAACUAGCCGGUGGGAGCCCUGGAGAUUUUAGUGGCGGCACCUAACGCAUUAAGUUGACCGCCUG